Molecule: long non-coding RNA, 1290 nt
Organism: Sitodiplosis mosellana (orange wheat blossom midge)
Lineage: Eukaryota; Metazoa; Arthropoda; Insecta; Diptera; Cecidomyiidae
Exons: 3
Source: RefSeq, a predicted model, not a curated record
CCGCUUUGGCUGCGUAUGUAGUUGAUUUUUGAUUGAAUUCCCUUUUUUUUGCCCGACAGAAACACAAACCAUCCAAAAAUAUCAUAACAACAUGUAAAUUUCCGCAAAGCCACUGAUAUCUGCCCUGAGUAAUACAAAGCAGGGAAAAACAGUCUACAUACGUCAAAAUUAACAAAUUUUUUGAGACGACACGGGCCGAAUCUUAUCAACUUAUGUGAUAUGGGCUAUUAUCAGUUUAGAUGAACAUUUUGCGAUAGAUUAGGUGAAGCGGUUGAAUCACACACGUCGUUCGCUCGACAAAAACAUUCAACUAUAAACAAAAAGUGUGUUCGGGUCAUUAAUUGAGACAAGUGCGCGCGCUCGAAUAAAUUUAGUGCAAUAUUCAGAUCAAGGUUUUGGUGUUGAGUUCACAUUCAAUCUGUGCUAUGUACUACACAUCGAAUAUAUUAAAUUGCAAUAUAGAGUUAUCUCUGUCUAUAUUUGACAAAAAUAAACAAACGCCAAGUUGUUGUUUGUAGCUUGAACCUUAUGCUAGAAAAGAUCUGAUUAGAGAUAAAAACUAAAUUCUAGCUCAAAUAAAUACAUUUUUUGGAUCAGAAUCGUUCUAUCUUUCUGGAGUGUGUCCUUCGCCAGCUGAAUGGAAAUUUUAGUACAUAAGCACAUUUUUUGUAUCGGAUCACCAAGUCAGAAAGCAUCUAGCAAACAAACGUGGCAUAUAUGUUUUUAUAAUUCUGUGAUAAAUAUUUAAAUUUUAUGUUGAAUCAAUUAAGUUGAAAAUAUUGCUCUUUAAUGGUGAUAAAUUAUUCUAGCUAUAAAUAAUAAGGAAGAUAAAUCACAGAAGAAAAACACUUUGACAAAGUACACCAAUACUAAAUCAUUUUUUAUAAAGGAGGAUCUUGUGAAUUUACUGUGUGUGCAAGACUGAUAAGUGAUUAUCAUUAUUGAUAAAUGUUAUACUCUGUUUAUCUAUUACAUAAAUUGCACCGUUGCGUCCACACAACAGUGAAUAUACGAUAAAAAAAAAUUUUACCAAAUAAAUUGCACAUGAAGGAGUCAACAAGUACGAACACAUUUAGAAAAUAUCAUUGUCAACAGUUCAAACCCAACCUCCAUUCGAAUCUGGAGUUUCUGUCAGAAAAAUGGAAAAGAAAUCGUUUGAAGCAAUUCCUAUCUUAGACAAUAAAAAGUGUCAGCCAGAUUAUGGUGCUACAGUAGCUGCCAAUUCUUAUUUGUCAAAAAAUCGGGUCAGAGGCAGCCGGUUGACAUAUCCAAAGGCCGUAAUAUUUGUGU